Molecule: ribosomal RNA, 811 nt
Filed under: uncultured bacterium
Lineage: Bacteria
Description: bacterial SSU rRNA
Rfam family: Bacterial small subunit ribosomal RNA
Source: RNAcentral
AGAGUUUGAUCCUGGCUCAGGACGAACGCUGGCGGCGUGCCUAACACAUGCAAGUCGUACGAGGACGGUCUUCGGACCGAGCCGAGUGGCGGACGGGUGAGUAACACGUGACCAAUCUGCCUUCGAGAGGGGGAUAACCUGGGGAAACUCGGGCUAAUACCGCAUGACGUGUCGUGCUCGCAUGGGCGUGACACCAAAGGGAGGCCUCUAUUUAUAAGCUUCCGCUUGAAGAGGAGGUCGCGACGUAUCAGCUAGUUGGUAGGGUAACGGCCUACCAAGGCUACGACGCGUAGCGGGUCUGAGAGGACGACCCGUCACAUUGGGACUGAGAUACGGCCCAGACUCCUACGGGAGGCAGCAGUGGGGAAUAUUGCGCAAUGGCCGAAAGGCUGACGCAGCGACGCCGCGUGUGGGAGGAAGCCCUUCGGGGUGUAAACCACUGUCGGGAGGGACGAACCGCGAACGGGCAAACAGCCCGGGCGCUUGACGGUACCUCCAAAGGAAGCACCGGCUAACUCCGUGCCAGCAGCCGCGGUAAGACGGAGGGUGCAAGCGUUGCUCGGAAUUACUGGGCGUAAAGCGCGGGCAGGUGGCCCUUUAAGUCCUUUGUGAAAUUCCGGAGCUCAACUCCGGAUGUGCAUAGGAUACUGGAAGGCUAGAGACUGGUAGAGGCGAGCGGAAUUCCUGGUGUAGCGGUGGAAUGCGUAGAUAUCAGGAAGAACACCGGUGGCGAAGGCGGCUCGCUGGGCCAGUUCUGACACUCAUCCGCGAAAGCGUGGGGAGCAAACAGGAUUAGAUACCCUAGUAGUCC